This 808-nucleotide ribosomal RNA is filed under the name uncultured bacterium. RNAcentral's name for it is "bacterial SSU rRNA". It matches the Rfam family "Bacterial small subunit ribosomal RNA", at positions 8 to 796 of the family's 1533-position model. The record is from RNAcentral.
AGAGUUUGAUCCUGGCUCAGAACGAACGCUGGCGGCGUGCCUAACACAUGCAAGUCGAACGCGAAAAGCAGUAAUGCUGAGUAGAGUGGCGCACGGGUGAGUAACACGUAACUGACCUGUCCUAGACAAUGGGAUAACCGACCGAAAGGUUGGCUAAUACCGUAUAAGCUCCCGACCUUGGGGUUGAGAGAAAAUGAUUGGGACCCGCAAGGGCCAAUCGGUUUAGGAGGGGGUUGCGGCCCAUCAGGUAGUUGGCGGGGUAACGGCCCACCAAGCCAAAGACGGGUAGCUGGUCUGAGAGGAUGAUCAGCCACACUGGAACUGAGACACGGUCCAGACUCCUACGGGAGGCAGCAGUGGGGAAUCUUGCGCAAUGGGCGAAAGCCUGACGCAGCAACGCCGCGUGGGUGAUGAAGGUCUUCGGAUCGUAAAGCCCUGUCGGAGGGGAAGAUGUGUUCACUGUCUAAUCGACAGUGGAUGUGACGGUACCCUUAAAGGAAGCACCGGCUAACUCUGUGCCAGCAGCCGCGGUAAUACAGAGGGUGCAAGCGUUGUUCGGAAUUAUUGGGCGUAAAGGGAGUGUAGGCGGUUUCUUAAGUCUCAUGUGAAAUCUGCGGGCUUAGCCUGACAAAGUGCAUGGGAAACUGGGAAGCUUGAGUGUCGGAGAGGAUAGGGGAAUACCCGAUGUAGAGGUGAAAUUCGUAGAGAUCGGGUGGAACACCAGUGGCGAAGGCGCCUAUCUGGCUGACAACUGACGCUGAGACUCGAAAGCAUGGGGAGCAAACAGGAUUAGAUACCCUAGUAGUCC